RNAcentral lists this ribosomal RNA (253 nucleotides) under uncultured bacterium. RNAcentral's name for it is "partial 16S ribosomal RNA". It matches the Rfam family "Bacterial small subunit ribosomal RNA", at positions 524 to 776 of the family's 1533-position model. The record is from RNAcentral.
UACGUAGGGUGCGAGCGUUAAUCGGAAUUACUGGGCGUAAAGCGUGCGCAGGCGGUUCGUUGUGUCGGUGGAGAAAUCCCCGGGCUUAACCUGGGAAUGGCCAUGGAAACUGGCGAACUGGAGUGUGGCAGAGGGGGGUGGAAUUCCGCGUGUAGCAGUGAAAUGCGUAGAGAUGCGGAGGAACACCGAUGGCGAAGGCAGCCCCCUGGGCUAGCACUGACGCUCAGGCACGAAAGCGUGGGGAGCAAACAGG